RNAcentral lists this ribosomal RNA (1274 nucleotides) under metagenome. Its description in RNAcentral is "SSU rRNA". It matches the Rfam family "Eukaryotic small subunit ribosomal RNA", at positions 483 to 1786 of the family's 1831-position model. The record is from RNAcentral.
AGGCGGUUCUCUACGAGGCCCGCCAUCGGAAUGGGUACAAUUUAAAUCCUUUAACGAGGAUCUAUUGGAGGGCAAGUCUGGUGCCAGCAGCCGCGGUAAUUCCAGCUCCAAUAGCGUAUAUUAAAGUUGUUGCGGUUAAAAAGCUCGUAGUUGGAUCUGCGGUCAAGGAAUGUGGUCCUCCGACGGAUGGUUACUGCUUUUCCUGACCUAACUACUUCGGUUUUCCCUUGAUGCUCUUAACCGAGUGUCUUGGGCGACCGAAACGUAUACUUUGAAAAAAUUAGAGUGCUCAAAGCAGGCGUUCAGCCUGAAUAGUGGUGCAUGGAAUAAUAAAAGAGGAUCUCGGUUCUAUUUUGUUGGUAUUGGAUUGAGAUAAUGAUCGACGGGGAUAGACGGGGGCAUUCGUAUUGCGACGUUAGAGGUGAAAUUCUUGGAUCGUCGCCAGACGAACAACUGCGAAGGCAUUUGCCAAGAAUAUGCUCUUCAAUCAAGAACGAAAGCGAGAGGCGCGAACGCGAUCAAAUACCGCGGUAGUUCUCGCCGUAAACGAUGCCAACUAGCGAUCCGCCGGAGUUAAAUGAUGACUCGGCGGGCAGCUUCCGGGAAACCAAAGUUUUUGGGUUCCGGGGGAAGUAUGGUUGCAAAGCUGAAACUUAAAGGAAUUGACGGAAGGGCACCACCAGGAGUGGAGCCUGCGGCUUAAUUUGACCCAACACGGGGAAACUCACCCGGCCCGGACACCGUAAGGAUUGACAGAUUGAGAGCUCUUUCUUGAUUCGGUGGGUGGUGGUGCAUGGCCGUUCUUAGUUGGUGGAGCGAUUUGUCUGGUUAAUUCCGAUAUCGAACGAGACUCUAGCCUGCUAAAUAGACAGUGAAUCGUUAGUUCACUGUACUUCUUAGAGGGACAAGCGGCUUCUAGCUGCACGAGAUUGAGCAAUAGCAGGUCUGUGAUGCCCUUAGAUGUUCGGGGCUGCACGCGCGCUACACUGAAGGAAUCAACAUGCAUUCUACCUUACCCGAAAGGGUUUGGUAACCCGUUGAAACUCCUUCGUGAUUGGGAUAGGGACUUGCAAUUAUGGCCCUUGAACGAGGAAUUCCCAGUAAGUGCGGGUCAUCAGCUCGCGUUGAUUACGUCCCUGCCCUUUGUACACACCGCCCGUCGCUACUACCGAUUGGAUGUUACAUUGAACUGUUCGGACCGAUGUCGAAGCGGCUUCACGGCUGCUUCGGUCGUUUGGAAAUAUCCGUUAGAUCUGACAUCUAGAGGAAGUAAA